Heterocephalus glaber (naked mole-rat) is the source of this 1031-nucleotide non-coding RNA. Lineage: Eukaryota; Metazoa; Chordata; Mammalia; Rodentia; Bathyergidae. The record is from RefSeq and is a predicted model, not a curated record.
CGGACGGAUGUCCCGCCCUUUCCUGUUUGGCCCAGGGCGGGUGGUGGAGUUGAAGUUGGAUAAGUAGUGUGCUUACCAGGUUGGUCUGUCCCUUUGCCAGUUAAUUGAGCACGCACACCUGAAGGAAAGUUGAAAUGCUUUUACUGGGAAUCCUGUGUUUUACUGAUCAAGUUGCACAAGCACAUGUAAUGUCUGAUAUGUAACCUUUCCUGCUUUCACUGAAUCCUCCUGUGGCCUCUAAAGAGAAUUGAGUUGUACCCAGCUUCCCCACCCCACCCAGAUUCCUAACAACUUCUCUGGUAAGAUUGGACUUUCACUAAAAGAUGAGACUAUCUUUAAGGAGCUUCUGCUUUAUGCCUAGCAAAAUAAACCACUCCUGUGACCAGCAAGCACUAUGAACCAGCAACCAUCAACAGAAGAUGAGGAAGGAAGGAAAAUUACAGCAAAAACAAAAUAUACUCUAAUGGCUCAACAAAUUAUCCUGCCAUGGGAGCUGGAAGUGAAGACAAUUCUUUCGCUAGUAAUCUCCCUAAAGAAGCCACAGGCAUUCUUUCUGCCUCUUAAGCACCUUCAAACUGCAUUUAAAAUUAGGUUGUGCUUCUGGAAAUCUUUCUUUUGCUAAUUUGUUGUACAUGAAUGCCUGCAGAAGCCUUUGGAUGGUAAAUGCUGUGGGAGGGGCAGUUUCCAUGGUGACUGUCUAAGGUACCCUUUUUCUUGCACUUCAAUUACAUCUUCAUUGCUGAGCUGUUGUGAAUGAGAAGGUAAGGACUCAGUCACAUCUGAAAGCUGGAGACUGAGACGUGGUACUAAAUGCAGCUGCAUUCUGAACCCGCUGAGUUGUACUAUACUUGUCUUGAACCUCCUCUUCAAGGUUGCCCCUGCCCGUUAUGGGAAAAUACAUUUGCAACACACAGGACAAAGGGCCAAUUUCCUUAACAAUACAAAGAGCGCUUACAAGCUGAUAUGAAAACUACCAAAAAACGUAAUAGAAAAAAAUGAGCAAAGGGGGCCAGGGAUUUAGCUCAGUUGUU